Molecule: transfer RNA, 73 nt
Filed under: Allomyces macrogynus ATCC 38327
Lineage: Eukaryota; Fungi; Blastocladiomycota; Blastocladiomycetes; Blastocladiales; Blastocladiaceae
Description: tRNA-Ala (CGC) (tRNA-Ala-CGC-4-1)
Rfam family: tRNA
About the family: Transfer RNA (tRNA) molecules are approximately 80 nucleotides in length. Their secondary structure includes four short double-helical elements and three loops (D, anti-codon, and T loops).
Source: Rfam by way of RNAcentral
GGGGGUUUAGCUCAGGGGAAAACGCUCGCUUCGCAUGCGAGAGGCCGGGGGGAAUCGAUCCCCCCCACCUCCA